CCUACGGGUGGCAGCAGUGAGGAAUAUUGGUCAAUGGACGAAAGUCUGAACCAGCCAAGUCGCGUGAAGGAAGACUGCCCUAUGGGUUGUAAACUUCUUUUAUAUGGGAGUAAAAUGUUCCACGUGUGGGAUUUUGUAUGUACCAUAUGAAUAAGGAUCGGCUAACUCCGUGCCAGCAGCCGCGGUAAUACGGAGGAUCCGAGCGUUAUCCGGAUUUAUUGGGUUUAAAGGGAGCGUAGGUGGAGUGUUAAGUAAGUGGUGAAAGCUUGCGGCUCAACCGUAAAAUUGCAGUUGAAACUGGUCGUCUUGAGUGCAGUAGAGGUAGGCGGAAUGCGUGGUGUAGCGGUGAAAUGCUUAGAUAUCACGCAGAACUCCGAUUGCGAAGGCAGCUCACUGGACUACAACUGACGCUGAGGCUCGAAAGUGUGGGUAUCAAACAGGAUUAGAUACCCUUGUAGUC
RNAcentral lists this ribosomal RNA (460 nucleotides) under uncultured bacterium. RNAcentral's name for it is "partial 16S ribosomal RNA". It matches the Rfam family "Bacterial small subunit ribosomal RNA", at positions 338 to 795 of the family's 1533-position model. The record is from RNAcentral.